UGACCAGCGGGGUCGAUCGGCUUGACUGAAAAUCCGCGUGUCGGCAGUUCGAUUCUGCCCCUGGCCACCA
Molecule: transfer RNA, 70 nt
Filed under: Halioglobus sp.
Lineage: Bacteria; Pseudomonadati; Pseudomonadota; Gammaproteobacteria; Cellvibrionales; Halieaceae
Description: tRNA-Phe
Source: RNAcentral